Molecule: non-coding RNA, 73 nt
Organism: Phrynosoma platyrhinos (Desert horned lizard)
Lineage: Eukaryota; Metazoa; Chordata; Lepidosauria; Squamata; Phrynosomatidae
Source: the annotation of a GenBank genome assembly
GCCAGCUUAGUAUAGUGGUUUGAGUGUUGGACUAUGACUCUGGAGGCCCCUGGUUCGAUUCCCUGCUCAGCCA